Molecule: ribosomal RNA, 521 nt
Filed under: uncultured Glomeraceae
Lineage: Eukaryota; Fungi; Glomeromycota; Glomeromycetes; Glomerales; Glomeraceae
Description: SSU rRNA
Rfam family: Eukaryotic small subunit ribosomal RNA
Source: RNAcentral
AGCAGCCGCGGUAAUUCCAGCUCCAAUAGCGUAUAUUAAAGUUGUUGCAGUUAAAAAGCUCGUAGUUGAAUUUCGGGACCAAUUUGUUGGUCGUGCCUCGGUACGUACUGGUAUUAUUGGUUUCUCCCUUCUGAAGAACCUCGAUGCCAUUAAUUUGGUGUCGUGGGGAAUCAGGACUGUUACUUUGAAAAAAUUAGAGUGUUUAAAGCAAGCAUACGCUUGAAUACAUUAGCAUGGAAUAAUGAAAUAGGACGUUUGAUUCUAUUUUGUUGGUUUCUAGGAUCGACGUAAUGAUUAAUAGGGAUAGUUGGGGGCAUUAGUAUUCAAUUGUCAGAGGUGAAAUUCUUGGAUUUAUUGAAGACUAACUACUGCGAAAGCAUUUGCCAAGGAUGUUUUCAUUAAUCAAGAACGAAAGUUAGGGGAUCGAAGACGAUCAGAUACCGUCGUAGUCUUAACCAUAAACUAUGCCGACUAGGGAUCGGAUGAUGUUAAUUUUUUAAUGACUCAUUCGGCGCCUUACG